Non-coding RNA from Trichobilharzia regenti, 46 nucleotides. Lineage: Eukaryota; Metazoa; Platyhelminthes; Trematoda; Strigeidida; Schistosomatidae. The record is from Rfam.
GUACUGAUGAAGAGUCCUAAACUAGGACGAAGCAUUUGUCCAGUAC